Molecule: RNA transcript, 3173 nt
Organism: Gadus macrocephalus (Pacific cod)
Lineage: Eukaryota; Metazoa; Chordata; Actinopteri; Gadiformes; Gadidae
Exons: 8
Source: RefSeq, a predicted model, not a curated record
UUCCUGGUCCUCUCAAUAUUGCUGAUAUCAUAACCAGAGGGGCCAGUCCUCAAGACCUGGAUGAAAGUUCAGAAUGGCAGAACGGACCAACAUUCUUGAAGCUACCAGUGGAUGAGUGGCCAGUUAAAUCUGCCAAAGAGUUGGUGAUGGCUGCCAGAGACGGUGUCAACAGAUUACAGAAGAAAGCGUUUGUUGCUGCACUGACCCGAGCACAAGCCAAGGCACAACUGCUGCCGGAUCCAAAGGAUACUGACACGCAGAAGCCUUCUGAACUAAAGCAAGACCAGGAACCAACUCAGACCCAAACACAACCAAAGAGGCCACCAGCAGGAUCAACUGUCCAAGAACUGGUGGAUGUCAAGCGGUUCAGUAACCUAAGCCGACUUGUCAAAACAGUUGCCUGGAUCCGGAGAGCAGCAAGGAUGUUCAUGAAAGGGAACAAGCGAACUGCAAACAAUCCAAAGUGGGAGGCAGUGUCGUUUUCAAAAGUCAUCUCAGUGACAGAGAGGGAAGACGCCCUAAAAGACAUCUUCCUUGCGGCACAGCAAAGUGCAUCCUUCCCAAGCACAACCACAGACAGGCUGGUGGUGUACAGAGACCAAGAGACUGGAUUGUUGGUCUGUGGGGGUCGUGUGCAGAUCUUCAAUGAAGAUAAAGUUGCUGUCCCCAUCUUGCCUUACGAAGCCUGGGUGUCGACACUGUUAGCACGAGAAGCCCACGAGGAGAACCACGAUGGAGUGGCCGGGACCUUGCUCAAGAUGAGAAGAAGAGCAUGGGUCGUGAAAGGUCGGAGAAUUGCUCAAAAAGUGGUCGAAAACUGCAUGUUCUGCAGGAAAACUAAAGCAAAAAGAUGCCAGCAAAUAAUGGGUGAUCUACCUCCAGAGAGGACAGAACCAGCUGCCCCAUUCCACUACACAACAGUCGACCUCUUCGGACCCUACCAAGUCAGGGAUGAUGUAAAGAAAAGAGUGUCACUGAAGGUUUGGGGAAUUGUGUUUUGUUGCAUGGCCUCCAGAGCUAUUCACACCGAGCUGGUGAACUCUCAGUCCACAGAGAGUUUUCUGUUUGCCUACCAGAGGUUCACAGCACUAAGAGGUCAUCCAAAGAAAAUCUGGUCAGAUCCUGGGACCAACUUCAUUGGGGCUAAGCCAGUCCUAGAAGAACAGUACCGAUUCUUUGCCAAUCUUGACAAAGCUACCCUGGAGGAGAGAGCUGCCAAGGAUGGCACAGAAUGGUCGUGGAAGAUUCAACCAGCCGAUUCUCCACACCGGAAUGGUGCCGCAGAAGCUGCUGUGCGCAUUGUCAAGAGAGCACUGCAGAGUCUUGGAGGAGAGUCCGGCCUAAGUUGGAGUGAAUUCCAAACAACUCUCUACACGGCUGCCAAUCUUGCAAAUGAAAGACCAAUUGACGCCAGGACACAGAGCCGAGAAGACAGCGUCCAGUUCAUCACUCCUAACUGUCUCCUGCUCGGACGAGCAUCACAGGGUGGAGAUGUCAGAACAUUCGACUUCAGUGACUAUCCCUACAAAAGGCUUAAAGAAAUGCAAGCGCAAGUUAACAAGUUCUGGAGGAACUGGAGUCAACUUGCUGGUCCUAACUUAUUCGUAAGGAACAAAUGGCAUACCGCCAAGAGAAAUGUCGCAGUCGGGGACAUCGUCUGGAUGGCGGACCAAAACGCCCUUAGGGGUCAGUUCAGGAUUGCAAGAGUGGUUAGCGUCAACUCGGACAGCAAAGGAGUUGUGAGGGACGUCAAUGUCAGAACCUUCCCAAGCUACCCCGUUCCUGUCACAAGGCCUACCGGAGCAAAAGUAAGUCACCGAACAUCUAAGAAAUUCAAAGAAAAGAUCCCAGCAGCAGUUCUUCACAGAGACGUAAGGCGACUAGUGAUCUUGCUUCCCACCGAAGAACAGAACUAAACAUCUGACCCAAGUUGCUCCUGUAACAUGCGACCUCCCAGGUGUCUCCACUGGAAGGUCGAGUGGGAGGUGUGAAGUCAACUUGGAAAAUCCCUGCUGGAUAUGAAGGGGUUAAUAUGCAACGCCGACUGACAGCUGGGGGAAUCCCUCCUCAGAGCGUUACCUGGGAAAUCCACGUCAUUGCGUCACCUUACCGGAAAGGACAGAAAGGGGAAGAGAGACUCUUUCAGGAAACGCCAGUUGCAAACAAAUCAGACAGCGUUCGGUCCAGCAGCAGCAAAGCUGCGCUAGAGAACUUGGAAAAAGCAGCGCUGGUACAGCCAUAAAAAGCCUGGAGAAACGGCCGGUUUUUUACCUUGCAGUAUACCUAGCAGUUUACCACUUGCAACCCACUUACAACUGUACCCACAAUACCUACCUGCUACAACUUACCUGUACCUGUGAAAAUACAAAAAGAAAAGUAAAGAGGAGUUAAAGAAGGAAAACCGUGUGGUCAUUGCAUGAGUGGAACCCAGUUAAACCUCCUAUGGGUUGUUGCGCAACAAUUGAUGCCUGGCACCUGGACCGAGGAGACUGGCUUGGACAUUGAGGGUGUUCCACAACAACUAUAUGGCAUCGACUGUGGAGUCUUUAUGGUCAUGUACUCCUGGUACAUUACCAUGGACGCACACUUCGAUUUCAACGUUUUGGAUAUGCCUCAUCUCAGGAGGUGGUGGUGCAAGCUCCUUUUGGACAACUACGGGAUUGAAGGAUGUGGCAAAAGAUUCUGUCAUUUCACCCAAGAAGGACACCAGAUGGUGAAUGGACUCCUGGCACCGGUGUUCCGGGUAACACGGAAGCGGAAGGUUUUGACCAAGGCAGAUGAUGUUUUCCUGAAGGACACAAUUGAGGCAGCAGCAUGGUGCCAGUUGCAGACCUUCACCGACCACGUUUCUCUCCCGAUGGUCAUUGGGGUGGAAGGUGCAGAGCAGCAGGCAUUGUUAGCAGAGCUGAAAUCCGUUGACCGCAGUUGCCCGGAAGAAAGCCUAAACAGGAUUGAACCGUUCCAGUUCUUCUUCAAUUCAAAGAAGGACUACGAAAUGUUCUGUGUGGAGAUGUUUGACCGGAGAAAGCUGAAAGUGUUUGCUUAUUGGGAGUAGCGACAUUUUACCCAUUGUUUUAAUUGAACUGGGGGACCGGGGGCCGAUUCUUUAUGUUAUCAUUUAUAUAACCAGUUCUAAAACCAUUUUCAUUUGUCUUUAUAAAUAAAAUGAUGUC